Molecule: ribosomal RNA, 885 nt
Filed under: uncultured archaeon
Lineage: Archaea
Description: bacterial SSU rRNA
Rfam family: Archaeal small subunit ribosomal RNA
Source: RNAcentral
CAGCCGCCGCGGUAAUACCAGCGCCCCGAGUAGUACCCGUGAAUAUUGGGCCUAGAGCGUCCGUAGCCGGUUUAAUAAGUCUUCUGUGAAAUGUUGGGGCUCAACCCUAACGCGUGCAGGAGAUACUGUUAAACUCGGGAGCGGGGGAGGGCAGGAGUACACCUGGGGUAGGGGUAAAAUCCGUUGAUCCUAGGUGGACUACCAGUGGCGUAGGCGCCUGUCCAAAACGCGUCCGACGGUGAGGGACGAAAGCUGGGGGAGCGAACGGGAUUAGAUACCCCGGUAGUCCCAGCUGUAAAUCAUGCAGACUGUGGUGUUACAUAUGAGUAAUCAUAUGUAGUGCUGUAGCGUAGGUGUUAAGUCUGCCGCCUGGGGAGUACGGUCGCAAGACUUAAACUUAAAGGAAUUGGCGGGGGAGCACCACAAGCCGUGGAUGCUACGGUUCAAUUGGAUACAACGCCGGGAACAUCACCAGGAACGACGGCAGUAUGAAGGUCAGACUAAAGAUCUUGCCUGACGCGCCGAGAGGUAUUGCAUGGCCAUCGUCAGCUCGUGGCGUGAACUGUCCAGUUAAGUCUGGCAACGAGCGAGACCCAUGCCUUUAGUUGCUAAUUUCAUCUCCGGAUGGGAUGCACUCUAGAGGGACUGCCCGUGUUAAAUGGGAGUAAGGAGUGGGCGACGGUAGGUCAGUAUGGUCCGAAAUUCCUGGGCUACACGCGGCAUACAAUGGUUGGAACAAUGGGCUACAACUCCGAAAGGAGACGUCAAUCCCCUAAAUCCAGCCGAAGUUCGGAUUGAGGGUUGCAACUCACCCUCAUGAAGCUGGAAUGGCUAGUAAUCGCAGGUCAACAUCCUGCGGUGAAUGUGUCCCUGCCCCUUGCACAC